This 485-nucleotide ribosomal RNA is filed under the name uncultured eukaryote. RNAcentral's name for it is "SSU rRNA". It matches the Rfam family "Eukaryotic small subunit ribosomal RNA", at positions 21 to 549 of the family's 1831-position model. The record is from RNAcentral.
UAGUCAUAUGCUUGUCUGAAGGACUAAGCCAUGCAUGUCUAAGUAUAAGCAAUUUAUACUUGUGAAACUGCGAAUGGCUCAUUAAAUCAGUUAUAGUUUAUUUGAUAUUUACUUGCUACAUGGAUACCGGUGGCAAAGUACCGCUAAUACAUGCAAAAACCCUUCACGGGGUGUAUUUAUUAGAUACGCAAACCAACCUGGGCAACCAGAGUAUGCUGAAUCAUAAUAACUUCACGAAUCGCAUGCGCAAGCGGCGAUGAAUCAUUCAAAUUUCUGCCCUAUCAACUUUUGAUAGGUAACGGAGAAUUAGGGUUCGAUUCCGGAGAGGGAGCCUGAGAAAUGGCUACCACAUCCAAGGAAGGCAGCAGGCGCGCAAAUUGCCCAAUCUCGAUACGAGGAGGCAGCGACAAGAAGUAACAGUGCUGGGCUUUUUCAAGUCUAGUAAUUGGAAUGAGUACAAUUUAAACACCUUAACGAAUUCCAUU